UACGUAUGGUGCAAGCGUUGUUCGGAAUCACUGGGCGUAAAGGGUGCGCAGGCGGACUGUUAAGUCGGGAGUGAAAACUGAGGGCUCAACCCUCAGCCUGCUUUCGAAACUGGCAGUCUGGAGUCCCGGAGAGGCAGGCGGAAUUCCCGGUGUAGCGGUGAAAUGCACAGAUAUCGGGAGGAACACCAAUGGCGAAGGCAGCCUGCUGGACGGAGACUGACGCUCAUGCACGAAAGCGUGGGGAUCAAACAGGAUUAGAUACCCUGGUAGUCCACGCCCUAAACGUUGUAGACCAGACGUUGGAGGCAUCAACCCCUUCAGUGUCAAACCAAACGGAUUAAGUCUACCGCCUGGGGACUAUGCUCGCAAGAGUGAA
Molecule: ribosomal RNA, 376 nt
Filed under: uncultured bacterium
Lineage: Bacteria
Description: bacterial SSU rRNA
Rfam family: Bacterial small subunit ribosomal RNA
Source: RNAcentral